UCUCUCUCUCUCUCUCUCAUAUUUGUUGUCUCUUGCUUUGAUGUUCGACUCGUGUUGGGUCCAAUUGCUUUGUGGAUGUAUGUUUACGUUGAAUCUAAAAGAUUAACUAUAGGGUUUGAGUGUUAAAGACAGAUGCUGGAAAAGCGUUGGUUGUGUUGUGAUUGGAUAAAUUUUGUUCUAUUCUAGAGGAUCCUUUAAAUGAUUAGCAUCAUGAAAUUUACUUAUCUAUUUAUUUAAUCAGUGGCAAAGAGGACAUCCGUGUUUG
This 265-nucleotide unclassified non-coding RNA is filed under the name Hevea brasiliensis (rubber tree). The record is from RNAcentral. Lineage: Eukaryota; Viridiplantae; Streptophyta; Magnoliopsida; Malpighiales; Euphorbiaceae.